ACGGGAGGCAGCAGUGAGGAAUAUUGGUCAAUGGACGCAAGUCUGAACCAGCCAUGCCGCGUGCAGGAAUAAGGCCCUAUGGGUCGUAAACUGCUUUUGUGGUGGAGCAAUAAGUCGUACGUGUACGGCGAUGAGAGUACAUCACGAAUAAGCAUCGGCUAACUCCGUGCCAGCAGCCGCGGUAAUACGGAGGAUGCAAGCGUUAUCCGGAUUUAUUGGGUUUAAAGGGUGCGUAGGCGGGAUGUUAAGUCAGCGGUGAAAGCGUGUAGCUCAACUAUACCAAGCCGUUGAAACUGGCGUUCUUGAGUGUAAACGAGGUAGGCGGAAUGUGACGUGUAGCGGUGAAAUGCUUAGAUAUGUCACAGAACCCCGAUUGCGAAGGCAGCUUACCAGCAUACAACUGACGCUGAGGCACGAAAGUGCGGGGAUCAAACAGGAUUAGAUACCCUGGUA
This 453-nucleotide ribosomal RNA is filed under the name uncultured Porphyromonadaceae bacterium. Its description in RNAcentral is "bacterial SSU rRNA". It matches the Rfam family "Bacterial small subunit ribosomal RNA", at positions 341 to 792 of the family's 1533-position model. The record is from RNAcentral. Lineage: Bacteria; Pseudomonadati; Bacteroidota; Bacteroidia; Bacteroidales; Porphyromonadaceae.